GAUGAGCCAGAAUUGGCACCUUGUCUUUAAAUAAGGUGCAAAAUGAUUUUAACUGAAGAGUUUGAUCAUGGCUCAGAUUGAACGCUGGCGGCAGGCUUAACACAUGCAAGUCGAGCGGAGAGAGGUAGCUUGCUACUGAUCUUAGCGGCGGACGGGUGAGUAAUGCUUAGGAAUCUGCCUAUUAGUGGGGGACAACAUCUCGAAAGGGAUGCUAAUACCGCAUACGUCCUACGGGAGAAAGCAGGGGAUCUUCGGACCUUGCGCUAAUAGAUGAGCCUAAGUCGGAUUAGCUAGUUGGUGGGGUAAAGGCCUACCAAGGCGACGAUCUGUAGCGGGUCUGAGAGGAUGAUCCGCCACACUGGGACUGAGACACGGCCCAGACUCCUACGGGAGGCAGCAGUGGGGAAUAUUGGACAAUGGGGGGAACCCUGAUCCAGCCAUGCCGCGUGUGUGAAGAAGGCCUUAUGGUUGUAAAGCACUUUAAGCGAGGAGGAGGCUACUUUAGUUAAUACCUAGAGAUAGUGGACGUUACUCGCAGAAUAAGCACCGGCUAACUCUGUGCCAGCAGCCGCGGUAAUACAGAGGGUGCAAGCGUUAAUCGGAUUUACUGGGCGUAAAGCGCGCGUAGGCGGCUAAUUAAGUCAAAUGUGAAAUCCCCGAGCUUAACUUGGGAAUUGCAUUCGAUACUGGUUAGCUAGAGUGUGGGAGAGGAUGGUAGAAUUCCAGGUGUAGCGGUGAAAUGCGUAGAGAUCUGGAGGAAUACCGAUGGCGAAGGCAGCCAUCUGGCCUAACACUGACGCUGAGGUGCGAAAGCAUGGGGAGCAAACAGGAUUAGAUACCCUGGUAGUCCAUGCCGUAAACGAUGUCUACUAGCCGUUGGGGCCUUUGAGGCUUUAGUGGCGCAGCUAACGCGAUAAGUAGACCGCCUGGGGAGUACGGUCGCAAGACUAAAACUCAAAUGAAUUGACGGGGGCCCGCACAAGCGGUGGAGCAUGUGGUUUAAUUCGAUGCAACGCGAAGAACCUUACCUGGCCUUGACAUAGUAAGAACUUUCCAGAGAUGGAUUGGUGCCUUCGGGAACUUACAUACAGGUGCUGCAUGGCUGUCGUCAGCUCGUGUCGUGAGAUGUUGGGUUAAGUCCCGCAACGAGCGCAACCCUUUUCCUUAUUUGCCAGCGAGUAAUGUCGGGAACUUUAAGGAUACUGCCAGUGACAAACUGGAGGAAGGCGGGGACGACGUCAAGUCAUCAUGGCCCUUACGGCCAGGGCUACACACGUGCUACAAUGGUCGGUACAAAGGGUUGCUACACAGCGAUGUGAUGCUAAUCUCAAAAAGCCGAUCGUAGUCCGGAUUGGAGUCUGCAACUCGACUCCAUGAAGUCGGAAUCGCUAGUAAUCGCGGAUCAGAAUGCCGCGGUGAAUACGUUCCGGGCCUUGUACACACCGCCCGUCACACCAUGGGAGUUUGUUGCACCAGAAGUAGCUAGCCUAACUGCAAAGAGGGCGGUUACCACGGUGUGGCCGAUGACUGGGGUGAAGUCGUAACAAGGUAGCCGUAGGGGAACCUGCGGCUGGAUCACCUCCUUAA
Molecule: ribosomal RNA, 1587 nt
Filed under: Acinetobacter seifertii
Lineage: Bacteria; Pseudomonadati; Pseudomonadota; Gammaproteobacteria; Moraxellales; Moraxellaceae
Description: bacterial SSU rRNA
Rfam family: Bacterial small subunit ribosomal RNA
Source: RNAcentral